Cavia porcellus (domestic guinea pig) is the source of this 130-nucleotide small nucleolar RNA. The record is from Ensembl. NCBI's taxonomy places the organism in Eukaryota, Metazoa, Chordata, Mammalia, Rodentia, Caviidae.
UUGGCCCUGAAUCAAGGCCAGCACCUUCCUGAUGCUGUUGGUUUCAAGCAGGAGCCUAAAGAGAUGUCUUUCUGUUGGCCAUUUGAGAACAUGAGCAGUGAAAUGGUCAAUUCAUUAGAAAGAAACAGCU